Molecule: ribosomal RNA, 679 nt
Filed under: uncultured Glomus
Lineage: Eukaryota; Fungi; Glomeromycota; Glomeromycetes; Glomerales; Glomeraceae
Description: SSU rRNA
Rfam family: Eukaryotic small subunit ribosomal RNA
Source: RNAcentral
GCCUACCAUGGUGGUAACGGGUAACGGGGUGUUAGGGCACGACACCGGAGAGGGAGCCUGAGAAACGGCUACCACAUCCAAGGAAGGCAGCAGGCGCGCAAAUUACCCAAUCCCGACACGGGGAGGUAGUGACAAUAAAUAACAAUACAGGGCUCUUUUGGGUCUUGUAAUUGGAAUGAGUACAAUUUAAAUCUCUUAACGAGGAACAAUUGGAGGGCAAGUCUGGUGCCAGCAGCCGCGGUAAUUCCAGCUCCAAUAGCGUAUAUUAAAGUUGUUGCAGUUAAAAAGCUCGUAGUUGAAUUCCGGGAUCAAUAUGUCGGUCGUGCCUUCGGUACGCACUGGUAUCAUUGGUUUCUCCUUUCUGACGAACCAUGAUGUCAUUAAUUUGGUGUUAUGGGGAGUUAGGACUGUUACUUUGAAAAAAUUAGAGUGUUUAAAGCAGGCUUUAGCUUGAAUACAUUAGCAUGGAAUAAUGAAAUAGGACGUUCGAACCUAUUUUGUUGGUUUCUAGGAUCAACGUAAUGAUUAAUAGGGAUAGUUGGGGGCAUUAGUAUUCAAUUGUCAGAGGUGAAAUUCUUGGAUUUAUUGAAGACUAACUACUGCGAAAGCAUUUGCCAAGGAUGUUUUCAUUAAUCAAGAACGAAAGUUAGGGGAUCGAAGACGAUCAGAUACCGUCGUA